AACGAACGCUGGCGGCAUGCCUAACACAUGCAAGUCGAACGAGACCUUCGGGUCUAGUGGCGCACGGGUGCGUAACGCGUGGGAAUCUGCCCUUGGGUUCGGAAUAACAGUGAGAAAUUACUGCUAAUACCGGAUGAUGUCUUCGGACCAAAGAUUUAUCGCCCAGGGAUGAGCCCGCGUAGGAUUAGCUAGUUGGUGGGGUAAUGGCCUACCAAGGCGACGAUCCUUAGCUGGUCUGAGAGGAUGAUCAGCCACACUGGGACUGAGACACGGCCCAGACUCCUACGGGAGGCAGCAGUGGGUAAUAUUGGACAAUGGGCGCAAGGAUGAACCAGCAAUGACGCGUGAGUGAUGAAGGCCUUAGGGUUGUAAAGCUCUUUUACCCGGGAUGAUAAUGACAGUACCGGGAGAAUAAGCUCCGGCUAACUCCGUG
Molecule: ribosomal RNA, 433 nt
Filed under: uncultured bacterium
Lineage: Bacteria
Description: partial 16S ribosomal RNA
Rfam family: Bacterial small subunit ribosomal RNA
Source: RNAcentral